Molecule: ribosomal RNA, 812 nt
Filed under: Cordyceps blackwelliae
Lineage: Eukaryota; Fungi; Ascomycota; Sordariomycetes; Hypocreales; Cordycipitaceae
Description: LSU rRNA
Rfam family: Eukaryotic large subunit ribosomal RNA
Source: RNAcentral
UUUGAAAUCUGGCCCCCGGGUCCGAGUUGUAAUUUGCAGAGGAUGCUUCGGGCGAGGUGCCUUCCGAGUUCCCUGGAACGGGACGCCAUAGAGGGUGAGAGCCCCGUCUGGUUGGACACCGAGCCCGUGUGAAGCUCCUUCGAAGAGUCGAGUAGUUUGGGAAUGCUGCUCAAAAUGGGAGGUAUAUGUCUUCUAAAGCUAAAUAUUGGCCAGAGACCGAUAGCGCACAAGUAGAGUGAUCGAAAGAUGAAAAGCACUUUGAAAAGAGGGUUAAAAAGUACGUGAAAUUGUUGAAAGGGAAGCGCCCAUGACCAGACUUGGGCCCGGUGAAUCACCCGGCGUUCUCGCCGGUGCACUUUGCCGGGCACAGGCCAGCAUCAGUUUGGCGCGGGGGACAAAGGCUUCGGGAAUGUGGCUCCCUCGGGAGUGUUAUAGCCCGCUGCGCAAUACCCUGCGCCGGACUGAGGUACGCGCAUCGCAAGGAUGCUGGCGUAAUGGUCAUCAGCGACCCGUCUUGAAACACGGACCAAGGAGUCGUCUUCGUAUGCGAGUGUUCGGGUGUCAAACCCCUACGCGGAAUGAAAGUGAACGCAGGUGAGAGCUUCGGCGCAUCAUCGACCGAUCCUGAUGUUCUCGGAUGGAUUUGAGUAAGAGCAUACGGGGCCGGACCCGAAAGAAGGUGAACUAUGCCUGUAUAGGGUGAAGCCAGAGGAAACUCUGGUGGAAGCUCGCAGCGGUUCUGACGUGCGAAUCGAUCGUCAAAUAUGGGCAUGGGGGCGAAAGACUAAUCGAACCUUCUAGUAGCUGGUUUC